Mya arenaria is the source of this 181-nucleotide long non-coding RNA. RefSeq lists it as uncharacterized. The record is from RefSeq and is a predicted model, not a curated record. NCBI's taxonomy places the organism in Eukaryota, Metazoa, Mollusca, Bivalvia, Myida, Myidae. The transcript is spliced from 3 exons.
AAAAAGAAAUGGACGGAUUUGAAGUCCAUGGCCAAAAAGAAAGAGAUGAAAAGAAGGAGAAUGGCGGCAGGGACUGGUGGAGGACCAGCCCCACCAGAGCUUUCUGCCUGAGAGGAACAGAUUAUCAGUGUCAUCCCAGAUGAGAUGGUAGAGGGAAUUUCUGGAGGUGUUGAUACAUUUG